Molecule: long non-coding RNA, 749 nt
Filed under: Mustela putorius furo (domestic ferret)
Lineage: Eukaryota; Metazoa; Chordata; Mammalia; Carnivora; Mustelidae
Description: lncRNA (ENSMPUG00000024239.1)
Source: RNAcentral
CUGGCCUAGGUCUCCCACUUCAUUCUCGGAGACACCACCACAGAAUCUUCAGGGGUUUCCAGACUUAAUUCUACUUUUUUUUUUUUUUCCUCUUUUACUGUGAGGUAAACAGGGUUAAGCGAGGUAAAGUUGUUGGUCCCGGGGAAAUCAUGUGCAAACUCAAGAACUUGAUUCUCUUCUGUCGUUCUGCCUCAAGGAGACACGUGUCACCUCUUCUGCUUUUCCUUGUCUACAUUCUUGUGACCAUUUCUGACCGUUGGCUUAAAUGGAAGACAAAAGCUACCUCUCUCAUGACCCAAAUACCGUAGCCUCUUGUGCUUUGGAACAUUUGACAGCAUUUCAUCACUAUGGAUGAGGGCCGUUUUAAACAGCAAAAUCCCUGACAAAAAAGUGCAAAAUUGAAAAAAAAAUACUAAAUAGCCAUAAAAAGGACACUUAUUUAGUUUGAGAACUGAAACAAGAGGACACAGCAUCUCUUUCUUUGACCUCAGCUGGGAAUGUGCCUCUUGGCACCUUCAAAUCAAUUUUUUUGCUGCUCUGCACAUGCCUGCAAAUGACAAUGAGGACACUGUGAGUAUUGUUUUGGGUAUUAUAAAUAAAGUGUAGUGAGUAAGUGCAUUUGCAAACUCAGAAUCCAUGAAUAAUGAGGAUGAACUCGGUCUAUUUGUCUAUCUAUCAUUUAUUUUCUUGGCAAAAUCUCAUCAGGAGAUCAAAAGACUCUUAUAAACAUGUAAAAUGAAGUUCAAAAA